Molecule: ribosomal RNA, 491 nt
Filed under: uncultured bacterium
Lineage: Bacteria
Description: partial 16S ribosomal RNA
Rfam family: Bacterial small subunit ribosomal RNA
Source: RNAcentral
AGUGAACGCUGGCGGUAGGCCUAACACAUGCAAGUCGAACGACAGCACAGUAAGAGCUUGCUCUUACGGGUGGCGAGUGGCGGACGGGUGAGGAAUACAUCGGAAUCUACUUUUUCGUGGGGGAUAACGUAGGGAAACUUACGCUAAUACCGCAUACGACCUACGGGUGAAAGCAGGGGAUCUUCGGACCUUGCGCGAUUGAAUGAGCCGAUGUCGGAUUAGCUAGUUGGCGGGGUAAAGGCCCACCAAGGCGACGAUCCGUAGCUGGUCUGAGAGGAUGAUCAGCCACACUGGAACUGAGACACGGUCCAGACUCCUACGGGAGGCAGCAGUGGGGAAUAUUGGACAAUGGGCGCAAGCCUGAUCCAGCCAUACCGCGUGGGUGAAGAAGGCCUUCGGGUUGUAAAGCCCUUUUGUUGGGAAAGAAAAGCAGCAGGUUAAUACCCCGCUGUUCUGACGGUACCCAAAGAAUAAGCACCGGCUAACUUCGU